Molecule: ribosomal RNA, 256 nt
Filed under: uncultured bacterium
Lineage: Bacteria
Description: partial 16S ribosomal RNA
Rfam family: Bacterial small subunit ribosomal RNA
Source: RNAcentral
CCGCGGUAAUACGUAGGGGGCGAGCGUUGUCCGGAUUUAUUGGGCGUAAAGGGCGUGUAGGCGGCCGUGUAAGUCAGGGGUGAAAACUCGAGGCUCAACCUCGAGACUGCCUCUGAAACUGCGUGGCUUGAGUGCUCUAGAGGGUAGUGGAAUUGCCGGUGUAGCAGUGAAAUGCGUAGAGAUCGGCAGGAACACCAGUGGCGAAGGCGACUACCUGGGGAGCAACUGACGCUGAGGCACGAAAGCGUGGGGAGCA